RNAcentral lists this ribosomal RNA (253 nucleotides) under uncultured bacterium. RNAcentral's name for it is "partial 16S ribosomal RNA". It matches the Rfam family "Bacterial small subunit ribosomal RNA", at positions 524 to 776 of the family's 1533-position model. The record is from RNAcentral.
UACGUAGGGGGCAAGCGUUGUCCGGAAUCAUUGGGCGUAAAGCGCGUGUAGGCGGCUUGGCAAGUUGGAUGUGAAAGCCCACGGCUCAACCGUGGAAGCGCAUCCAAAACUGCUUCGCUCGAGUCUCGGAGAGGAAGGUGGAAUGCUUGGUGUAGAGGUGAAAUUCGUAGAUAUCAAGCAGAACACCUGCGGCGAAGGCGGCCUUCUGGACGAUGACUGACGCUGAGACGCGAAAGCGUGGGGAGCAAACAGG